Molecule: long non-coding RNA, 771 nt
Organism: Triticum aestivum (bread wheat)
Lineage: Eukaryota; Viridiplantae; Streptophyta; Magnoliopsida; Poales; Poaceae
Exons: 2
Source: RefSeq, a predicted model, not a curated record
CCAGCCUGGUCUAACUAAACGGAUAAGGGAGAGUAGCCAGGAAGCGCGCCAGCAGCAUCUCGCUGGCGCCUGAGGGUGUCGGUGCCGACCGCCGCAGGCGCGCGUGGAGACGGGCUGGGCGCCGCCGAGACGUGAGCGUUCGUGGCCAUUGGUCGCCGCUUCAGUCGGCCGCCGGAAGUUCAGUCGCGCAGGGGCCGAGCCGCGCGCAGCCGCCGUGGAUGCCUUAGGCGCUCGUGCCACAGGGCCGCGGGAAGCCGCGCUAGUGGAGCCGCUGCGUCGCGGCCGGCCCGCUGAUGCGUCAAGUGCUCGAGGCCUCCUUGCUGGUGCAUGGCUGAGGGCAGCCGAUGCGUGCGCUCCAGUGGCGACUGGCGAGAGCCCAAGGGAUGUAUCCAUGCCCAUGUGGAGCGGCGCGCUGUGCCGUGAGCGGCCAUUACCGUGGCCGGCCGCAUCUGGGGUAGAGCGGACGCAAGAGCCGUUCGUGGGGAUAACGACAGGCCCGAUGUCAUCGCUUCGGAGGGCCGGCCAGGGGCAUGGCCUCGAGCGCCGCCGAUCUGCAUGGAUGCAAGACGAGGGCCGCGUCGACCACCAGGGAGCAGCGCUGAAGGAGUGGUCGUCGCCGUCGCUGCUCUUUGCGUCGUCUCCGGCCUUUGUUCUCCGUGUCGCGCCGUGAGGCCGAUAGGAUCGCUCCGCCGGGAGCGUGGUGAUAACGUGUUUAAUGAAAACGAGAUGUAACUCAGUGAAUGAAUCAAGUGUAAUCUUUCCAUUGAUCAA